Xiphophorus hellerii (green swordtail) is the source of this 845-nucleotide long non-coding RNA. RefSeq lists it as uncharacterized. Lineage: Eukaryota; Metazoa; Chordata; Actinopteri; Cyprinodontiformes; Poeciliidae. The transcript is spliced from 3 exons. The record is from RefSeq and is a predicted model, not a curated record.
GUGGCAGUAUGCCCUGUGGGCCCUGAACGCACCACACAAGUGCCUGACUUUAAUUGGUUGUAGCGCUGCCUGCAUAUAAAGGGCCCUCCCUCACCUGGUAGACAACACGUUCUCCUUCCGGUUCAGACUUCACUGUUGACUGGCGCUAUACGACUGACGCGCUUAAGACAUUAAUUGCUGUUCAAGCCUUCUUCUGGUGACUUGUACCAGCUGACUGCUUCUUCUCCCUGCCAGAGGCAUAACGCAUCAAGCUCAGUGACGCUGCUGUUUGUCCUUGGCCGGCUGCUUGCCCGUACUCUGUUGUCCCUGGUUGACGGUCCGUCCGCCUGUGACCUGGUUAUUCGUCGUCGGCUGACGGCGGCCUGCCCGUCGCCCUGGUUGUCGGCUUCAUACCCGCUGUCCUGGUCGGCGUAAGCUGGCUUUUGACUCUCGUCCAGUGUGGCUGAUUCAGGCUGGUUCAUGACCAGCUCGUCCUGAUCCCUCUGGUGCCGCUCUGGCUGGCGUUUGCUGUGGCGCGGCGGUUCGUCUCAGGACGGACUCCUAACUUGGACUGCUAUUGCUUGAUUUGUGAGGACUGAACUGUAUAACCAAGAAAUGUAUGUAAUUUGAAUGUCUUUUCUUUUGUUGACAGGAAUGGCCAGCUCGUGGUGUCGGUGGUGGACUUUCUGGGUGGUGGUAUUUUCUUUGGUUUGGUGCACGAUUUUCUUUUAUUUGGUUUGCUGUGUUUCCUUUGUAGGUCCCUGCCAGCUUCGAGUUGAGCCGUAAAUGUCAUUUUAAUGUGUGAGUGAUUUUAAACUAAUAUAUUUCUGACUAGAAAAUUGAAAUAAUAAACUGAUUGGACUGAG